This 254-nucleotide ribosomal RNA is filed under the name uncultured bacterium. RNAcentral's name for it is "partial 16S ribosomal RNA". It matches the Rfam family "Bacterial small subunit ribosomal RNA", at positions 524 to 776 of the family's 1533-position model. The record is from RNAcentral.
CACGUAGGGGGCAAGCGUUGUCCGGAUUUAUUGGGCGUAAAGAGCUCGUAGGUGGUUCGGUAAGUCGGGUGUGAAACCUCCAGGCUCAACCUGGAGACGCCACCCGAUACUGCGGUGACUGGAGUCUGGUAGGGGAACACGGAAUUCCUGGUGUAGCGGUGAAAUGCGCAGAUAUCAGGAGGAACACCGAUGGCGAAGGCAGUGUUCUGGGCCAGUACUGACGCUGAGGAGCGAAAGCGUGGGGAGCAAACAGG